Long non-coding RNA from Solanum stenotomum, 832 nucleotides. RefSeq lists it as uncharacterized. Lineage: Eukaryota; Viridiplantae; Streptophyta; Magnoliopsida; Solanales; Solanaceae. The record is from RefSeq and is a predicted model, not a curated record. The transcript has 5 exons.
UUCAUUUUAAUUGUUCAGAUGUAGUUGAUGCGAGUUUCUUGGCUCCAUAUAUUUUUUUCUUCUUGUUCUGAAACAAAUAAAAGUUGAGUUUGUGGCUCUUUUUCUUCACUAAUUGCUGCUGUAACGAUUUGUUGUGGUGCCCGUAAGGAGGUGAUUGUCAAAUGAAACAUUUUUAAUCGUGUUCAUUUCAGUGUUGUCAAAGGCUCAUUUAUGACACACUUAAGUUUUGAAGCUCAGGCUAGGUGCUUCGCUUCACUUUGGCUGCGUUUCAGUGUAUGCAAGGCACGAAGGUAUAUAUUUGUUGCAGUAGUUAUCUGGAGAUCUCAUAUGAUGGAAAUCAAGGCAGACAGAAAUGAUGGAUCCUUUGUUGUAGUCAAGCACGGAGCUGAGGCUGACGUCCAUUGUUUACAAAGAAAUACAGGCAUCUAACUGUGGAAUCAAAGCUUACUCGUGAAGACUUAAGUGGGUUGGUGUAAAUGAUAGCAGUUGUAUUCUUUAGUCUCUUCAUACCUCAAAGUUGUGCUGCUAACAAUUUUGAAUAACGGAGUAGGAGACCAGGUGCAUACUCAAAGCAAUAUGCUAUUGACGCUGCUAUGCAUCUCACUUUUGAGUAUGUUGAAGGUCCCUCAUGAAAAUAUAUUCCUUGGUUUGGUUUACUUGAGAUUAUUGAAGAAAUGAUCGCAGAUGAACUGAUUGGCGAUGCUAUUGGAAAACUACAUAAUGGUGGCAUUGUCCAUGGGAUUUGGUGGCAUCCAACAUGUUGAUGAGGUUUGCUGCCAAUCAGCUAGGAAGUCAUCACAUCACUCUUGGAUGUGCAUUCACUAGUGCAAUG